Non-coding RNA from Cyanistes caeruleus (blue tit), 607 nucleotides. Lineage: Eukaryota; Metazoa; Chordata; Aves; Passeriformes; Paridae. The record is from RefSeq and is a predicted model, not a curated record.
UGCAGCAUGGCCCCAAACAGCAGAGCAGAUUUGGUUGCAUGUUAUGGAAAAUGGUGAUUGUCUGCUGCAAAUAAGGAUCAAGAGAGACAGAGAGGGAUGAUCAAGCUCAUGAUGCAUAAAUGUACUUAUGGAGAAGCUGAACUUGACCCAACAUGGCCUGUAUCACAGGGCUGUUAAAGGAGGGAGGCAACAAGUAUGUCACACUGGGGAAAAAAACUCAUCACUGAAGGCUUGAAGCCAGUGGAUAACAUGGACAAAGAAAUUGUGAAUAGACUAAGAGCUGUUAUGAGGAGGAGAAAUAGAUGUUAAAUAAGCAGCAUGAUUGCAUAAGCUUGAUUUCUGCUAAAUAUUUUAAUUCUCUGUGCCAACUCUGGACCAGGAGGAAAUAUGUCAUCAGCCAUGCUAAAACCAUUGAAAUAUCUGGGUAAGAAAUCAUCCUUAAGUCUCAACAAAUCAUCUUUAUACAGCAAUGCGUGUUAAGAAUUAAUUUAAGAAAUGAUCCUCAAGAGGCCAGAUGUGAACACUGUGCCAUCCUAAUCUAUUUUUUCCUGACUAUUAGGUUGAUAAUGGGGAUUCCUUUGCACAGUCAUUAUGCAUUGUUGUCAGU